Molecule: long non-coding RNA, 2738 nt
Organism: Synchiropus splendidus (mandarinfish)
Lineage: Eukaryota; Metazoa; Chordata; Actinopteri; Syngnathiformes; Callionymidae
Exons: 3
Source: RefSeq, a predicted model, not a curated record
AUGGGCUUAAAUAAGUCACACUUAUGUUGUGGCACACGUGUAUAGUUGCUCAUAUCAGAACAAUAGAAGGCGAUGUGAUUUAGUCGUCGUAAUUUGUUCAGGUAGAGCAAAAAGCCACACGUCCUAUGUAAUUUUGCGAAGAUCAUGAAAUAUCACAACAGAAGUGAAGCCACUGCAUGAAGGGAGACAGCGCCACCAUGACCCAAAUAUCCUUGUGUUUCAGCAGCAGCAGAGACAGGACUGGGAACAUGUGCGGCUUUCCAAGGGUCAGUGCUUGAGUUGGCACAUGGAGGCCAGGGAUUAGAAGCGCUGGAAGAAGAUGGCGGGGCCGACCAGGGAUUACCAACCACAGGAGGGCUGGCCUGAACCGCUGCAAGCACAGAUGAGGUUUGAUUUUCAGUCAACUGACAAGAUUGUCGGGUGCAGAUCGAUGUCUCGCCCACCUGCCGGCUCCCAGGGGCUCGAGGGAGCAUCAGAAGACACAGCAGCAGAGAUCCAGGGGUCAGUUCGAGCAGGUUGAGCUUUCGAGGAUGCACCAAAAAUAUCUACCAGAUCCAGCAUGGCGGACUAGAAAGGAGCGGAGAAUAGUUUUUUUUAGUGUGAGGUCACCAUCAUCCAAGGACUGGUUACUACAGGCGAACUAGCCGUGAGACGAGACAGUGAGUCUGACAAACGUGUGAGUCAAAGAGCUGCUAUUGAUGCAGGUAGCUUUCAGGGAAAUGCCACGCUGAGCUCAGACCCUGAUAAGACAAAGUCAUUACGAUUCAGUGGGCAUCUCUUCUUUCUCAGACCUCAUUAUGCUGAUCAGCUUUUUCUCCCCUCCCCGCCCGACUCAUUUUCCCACAGAUCACACAGCCAACUCCUCUGGCUGUAAGCCUGCCAAAAAAACCUCCCACAAAAUGAUGCACUCGCCAACCUUUCCAUGCAGAUACACGGCCGUCACGAACACGCCCACACGCACAUUUGUAACUCACCUCUCCUGUCCCCGACUGGCUCUCUCUCCUGCUCUCAUCCAGUGCUUUCUGUAGUAGGGACUCGUCUCCUUGGCGACAGUUUUUGUCCUGCAGGGGCGGCAUCAUCAACGUCAUCUCCACCACAAUUUAUACACUCACACACACACACACAAGUUGGUCCACUAUUGAUUUCUGUUACGAGAAAUGAAACAUUAAACCAGACUAGAAAAGAUCAGAAGACAGAGAGGAGAAACUUUUAUGCAGCUACAGCCAAUAAUAAGGUGCAGCUAACAGCACACUUUUUUUUUGAGAGAAAUCAUCAAUACUUAUGUUUCUGUUUCACAGAGAUGCACAAGCAUUUCAAGGAAUAAAAAUAGGUUCAUUGUGGAAACUCAGAAGACAACAGCAGUUCUUAAAACAGUACUUCAAACCUUUCUGACUAUGGCCUAUACAAUAUACAGCGCAUGUCGUCAUGGACCGAGGACACAGCAUGAGGUCAUCCAACUAUCCCUACCAUACCACAAACAGAAGCACGAAGACACCAGUUAUAGCCACUGACUACAGCACCAGCACACUGGUUGGCUCCUUAGUGAUAACUUAGGUGCCAUUAUAAUACAGAGAAAAAGCCUGUUGAGGAGUGAUUCAUGCUGUCGGGGUAAGUGAAGAUAUCAUUUCCAAAUCUCCAGCACACUGGGGAUUUCAAAUGUCAAAUUCAGCCUCUUGUUUUGAUUUUUUUUUUUUCAAAUUGGAAUACACGAGUCAUAAAAUCAUUCAAGUAUAUUAAACAAACACGGGUGAAAAUGAAUCUUGGCGCUCGUGAAACUGGUGACUCUGAACAGGGGUUGACUUAACAUUUUAAAACAGAAAAUGACAAUGAAAAACGGCAUCUAAAAAAAACAAUGAGCAACAUUAGUGCAGAAUAUUAGAAAAAUAUCUCUAUCUGAUAGAAAAGUUCUAGCACAUAAUUAAAUUUAUAAAAAGGAAGAUUCAAAUGCUUUAUUAUAUAUUUUUUAUAGAAAUGUGGAAAAUGCCAUUGAAUAAUAAUUGCAUGAAUAUGAAUGAAACACAAUAUUACAAAUAUUUUCAUUUCAGUCUAUAUGUAGAAUGCUUUGAAAAAGGAAUUUGGGCACAACAAUGGCAGGUAGAGAUCUUGAAUGUGGGUAAACGUGGACACAAUGUUGGGGAGCCCAGAUGGUGUGUGUUCAUUUAGGCCCCAAGAUUUGACAUGACUUAACUCAACAUUCAAAUUUAGUCAAAUCUUAAAAGCAACAGAGCGACAUGGAGAAAUGUGUGAGACACGCACCUUCUGACUCUCCUCUCGACUCAUGGCCAGAGCCAGCUGGAGCUGCAGCUCCUCCUCUCCGCUGGUCUGGGGUCUGGCUUGCUCCAGAUCAGAGGCGGCUCUUGGAGACGACGACGAGGCUUCAGGGGAACAGACAGACACAGGGCCCAGCUCAGUGACAGCCAAGCUGUAACAACGCAUGAGUAGAUUCUGACCGUCACUCACAGUUAAAAGAGGACGGUGAGCCUCUGGAGCGGCUGAACUCCUCCCCGUACAGCACAGCCAUGCUGGGCUGGCUGGUUCUUCUUCCCGGAUGGUAGGUUGGAGGAAUUCCUCCGUACACACUGCCUCCUCCUCCACCACCGCUGCCUCCGCCUGCCAUCCGCUCCUUGGUCUUCAGCGCUUGACUUCUCUCUUGGCGCAGCCGCUCCUCGUCCCGGAGAAGACACACCAGCUGGCGGGCUUUUUCUCUCACAUUGGCCCCCUGGUCUCGUCCAUCGCGG